GGGGAAUAUUGCACAAUGGGCGCAAGCCUGAUGCAGCCAUGCCGCGUGUGUGAAGAAGGCCUUCGGGUUGUAAAGCACUUUCAGCGGGGAGGAAGGCGAUAAGGUUAAUAACCUUAGCGAUUGACGUUACUCGCAGAAGAAGCACCGGCUAACUCCGUGCCAGCAGCCGCGGUAAUACGGAGGGUGCAAGCGUUAAUCGGAAUUACUGGGCGUAAAGCGCACGCAGGCGGUCUGUCAAGUCGGAUGUGAAAUCCCCGGGCUCAGCCUGGGAACUGCAUUCGAAACUGGCAGGCUAGAGUCUUGUAGAGGGGGGUAGAAUUCCAGGUGUAGCGGUGAAAUGCGUAGAGAUCUGGAGGAAUACCGGUGGCGAAGGCGGCCCCCUGGACAAAGACUGACGCUCAGGUGCGAAAGCGUGGGGAGCAAAC
Molecule: ribosomal RNA, 425 nt
Filed under: uncultured bacterium
Lineage: Bacteria
Description: bacterial SSU rRNA
Rfam family: Bacterial small subunit ribosomal RNA
Source: RNAcentral